ACUCCUACGGGAGGCAGCAGUGGGGAAUAUUGGACAAUGGGGGCAACCCUGAUCCAGCAAUGCCGCGUGAGUGAUGAAGGCCUUCGGGUUGUAAAGCACUUUUAUCAGGAGCGAAAUACUACGGGUUAAUACCUCGUGGGGCUGACGGUACCUGAGGAAUAAGCACCGGCUAACUUCGUGCCAGCAGCCGCGGUAAUACGAAGGGUGCAAGCGUUAAUCGGAAUUACUGGGCGUAAAGCGUGCGUAGGCGGUUUCUUAAGUCUGCUGUGAAAUCCCCGGGCUCAACCUGGGAAUGGCAGUGGAUACUGGGAAGCUAGAGUGUGAGAGAGGAUGGUGGAAUUCCCGGUGUAGCGGUGAAAUGCGUAGAGAUCGGGAGGAACAUCAGUGGCGAAGGCGGCCAUCUGGCUCAACACUGACGCUGAGGCACGAAAGCGUGGGGAGCAAACAGGAUUAGAUACCCGAGUAGUAC
This 469-nucleotide ribosomal RNA is filed under the name uncultured bacterium. RNAcentral describes it as "bacterial SSU rRNA". It matches the Rfam family "Bacterial small subunit ribosomal RNA", at positions 335 to 796 of the family's 1533-position model. The record is from RNAcentral.